RNAcentral lists this long non-coding RNA (1369 nucleotides) under Carica papaya (papaya). RNAcentral describes it as "long non-coding RNA (CPAP_LNC012332)". Lineage: Eukaryota; Viridiplantae; Streptophyta; Magnoliopsida; Brassicales; Caricaceae. The record is from RNAcentral.
UGCACUUGCACAAGCAGCAUAAUUCCUCUAGCAAGUUGUGAUUCUCUAUUGUUUAUAGCAACCCAUCAAAACAAGCUCUCAACCUAGUCAAGUUGCCUAAAAUAUCUGGAUCUAAUCUAGCAGCUAAUAACAUGAUGGAACAAGUUCUAAUCUAGCAGCUAUAAGAUGGUUGAACAAGUUCAGUCAAUUGAAAUCAAGGUGAAACAAAUGCUUGAACACGACACAAAUAGACUUUUGGGUGACUUUUGGGUGGCACCGGUUUGACACUCUGUUCUACUACAUUCCUCAUGUGUUCCAUCUAAGUGAACACAUGUAGUUCACUAGACUUUAUUGAAGAUUUUUGCUGGUGAUUAAAAGGAAUAUCCUUCUCUUUUCCUCCUUUUUCUGGGAGAAUAUACGACAGAUUAGCAUUUACUUUGAACAUGACACAACCAGAAAGAAAAUCCUGUUAGAAAUAUCUGGAUCUAAUCUAGCAGCUAAUAACAUGAUGGAACAAGUUCUAAUCUAGCAGCUAUAAGAUGGUUGAACAAGUUCAGUCAAUUGAAAUCAAGGUGAAACAAAUGCUUGAACACGACACAAAUAGACUUUUGGGUGACUUUUGGGUGGCACCGGUUUGACACUCUGUUCUACUACAUUCCUCAUGUGUUCCAUCUAAGUGAACACAUGUAGUUCACUAGACUUUAUUGAAGAUUUUUGCUGGUGAUUAAAAGGAAUAUCCUUCUCUUUUCCUCCUUUUUCUGGGAGAAUAUACGACAGAUUAGCAUUUACUUUGAACAUGACACAACCAGAAAGAAAAUCCUGUUAGAAAUUUGAGGCUGGACUAGUCCUAUUGCCAAACUAUUUGGACUCACUAAACCAAAAUUUGGCUCAAGCUUGGUUCUGCACUCAAGCUUGUUUAUGCUAUUAAGCAAAUACCAAACUUAUAGACCCUCAACUUAAAAGGCUGCAAACCUUUCUUUAUAUUCAAAAACUUUUUAGAGGCUCAAACUCAUUUUUGUCGACCUCGAACUAGUUGGGACUCAAUACUUGAUGUAGGGCAAAGUAAGGUUACUUUACCUAUUAAGAAAUUUGGGAAAAAACCUAAAUAUUGCACUCAUAGUUCUUAGGCUUCGCACCUAAGGGUUGGUUGAAUCACAUCAUCAAUUAAGAGAAAUUCUCAAAAAAAAAAUAUCAUUAAAUACUUGGAUGUUCCAUAAGUAAAAUUACAAACUAUUUAUAAUAAUUUCUAAGCAACAUUUUCUAAAUAGAAUUAAAAUAAGAAAUCAUAAACUAAGAGAAAUAGAAAUAUCACUCCUAAUAAGAAUAAGAAACUAAUAUUAAUAGUAUUAUGAAUACUAAUAAACCUAGAAAUCCUAAAUUAUUAAAAUUA